This 333-nucleotide long non-coding RNA is filed under the name Aotus nancymaae (Ma's night monkey). RNAcentral describes it as "lncRNA (ENSANAG00000038640.1)". The record is from RNAcentral. Lineage: Eukaryota; Metazoa; Chordata; Mammalia; Primates; Aotidae.
AGACACACAGAUCGGCUGGUUGUGAAAACGAGUGCGGCACCACCAUGACCAUAUUGCAGGCAAACAAAGCAUUAACACCUGCAGUAUUGAAACCACAGCCUCUCUGACCUGCUGCCACCCAGAAAAAGCAUCUGGAUCCAUGAUCUAGACAAUGGUAAGAGGAUGUGCUUUGUGGCCCGUGUUCUGGGUGGAAGCUGUGCCACUUAACUUCUCAGAAAAAGCAUCUGGAUCCAUGAUCUAGACCAUCGUAAGAGGAUGUGCUUUGUGGCCCAUGUUCUGGGUGGAAGCUGUGCCACUUAACUCCUCAGGCAAGUUCCUUAAUUUCUUCAUCUG